UCCCUGGUCGAGUUAAGGGCCGGUUCCGGCGGCAGGGCGGGACUCGCGGUCUCCCGUCCCUCCCGGGGUGUGUGUGGGGGGAAUAACAUGAAGAUUUUUUUGGGGUGAAAGCGCAGAAAUUAGCGAGGAGAGACGCUAAUUUGGGUAAACUCGGUCCCCGGAAGUAGAGCGACCGGAAAUCCUCCAAGGCCCCCGGCCCUGGGGCACCCAUAAAAAUGAUGUCGAAAUAACUAAUGAGAGACGCUUGCAACAGCUAUCAGGAGAAGUGCACACGUUUGAGGCUUUGGAUAGUGACCCAAUGCUAGUGAAGUUAAUUGAUGCUCAAGUGUCCUGUGGGUGGUAGAGUUGAGCUGAAGCUUGGAGCUCAGGUGAUGCUAGCAAAGAAUCUGGAUGUGUCUCAAGGGCUGGUGAACGGGGCACGAGGCGUUGUUGUAGGAUUUGAAAGUGAACAGAAGGGGCUGCCUAAGGUGAGGUUUCUCUGUGGGGUCACACAGGUCAUAAGAAUGGAGAAAUGGGUCUUCAAAGGACCAUCAGGAGUUCACCUGAGUCGUCAACAGCUGCCUUUAAAGUUGGCAUGGGCCAUUUCCAUUCACAAGAGUCAGGGCAUGUCUUUAGAUUGUGUGGAAAUCUCCCUGUCUCGUGUCUUUGAAAGUGGGCAGGCUUACGUAGCCCUCUCCCGAGCCCGCAGCCUUGCAGGUCUCCGUGUUCUGGAUUUUGACCCAAAAGUAGUGAGAGCUGAUCCUUCUGUGCUGCACUUCUAUAGACAGCUGAGGCGUCAUCAGCUUUUAACCCAGGAUUCACUACACACCUAUUCAGAUGCUGAUGAGAAGGAGAAUGUGAAAUGCAGCUGAUAAUGUUCUCCUGGUUUCUGUGAAGUGUCAGCACAGACAGCUGAGAUGCAGUGAUCUUGCUAUUGAGUAUAUUUGAUAACACAGUAUACCACUGUUGUGAGAUGGAAGGUGUCCGGAUGGAUUGGACCAGUUCACAGGAGCUGCUGACACAAGGGAAAGCAGUGCUAAGUAUCUGGAAUACACACUUGAUUCUUCUGCAAGCAAGGAGCUGGGCUAUUACUUUACAGCAUGCUGAGGUGUUCCAGAUGCUUGACACCAGGAGGCUUUGCAAAACUUCCUCCACAAGCAGAACUGCCAGUUACAUAUUGCUUGUUAUGCUGAUAUGUAGUGUUUUUAUUAGUCUGUUGCAUAAGAUGUGAUUUUUAUUUUUUUAACCCUCUGAGAUGAACUGGCACUGUUUAAAGACAGGAGGAAUUCCUACAUCUUAUACCUGUAAUUAUGGAACUACAAGAAUUGUGAAGUUCUGUUACUCCAUUAGGGAGAAGAUGGGUACUGGUGAGAGUUCCUCUUGUUAAAACAUGAGGCUUGCUCAAAUGAAAGUUGUCCCUGGAAAAAACCUGUCUGACUAAUAAGGUGGAAGUUUAGUGUGAAAUAGGGAAUAAUGGCUAUGGACAUGUGAAGUGAGCUGUAAUGUCACCUGUUUCAGCAAAAGCAGAGAUAAGCAGAACUAAUAUACUGUCUUAAUUAAGGCAAAGCUUUGGUCUUUGUAUUUUAGCACUUUGUUUAAAGCUUAAGUGACUUGUAUAUUUUAAAAUGUUUAACAUCUUAAAACAUGACAUAACAUUCAGCUGGAA
RNA transcript from Pseudopipra pipra, 1645 nucleotides. It is a transcript of the gene named ATP-dependent DNA helicase PIF1-like, with no coding region annotated. The record is from RefSeq and is a predicted model, not a curated record. The transcript has 7 exons. NCBI's taxonomy places the organism in Eukaryota, Metazoa, Chordata, Aves, Passeriformes, Pipridae.